UGGAAAUAAUGCUAAUGGAGUGUGCCAGAAGAUCCAGUUUUUGGAGUUUGUUGAAAUGAUAUGGAAGGCCCCAUAAUUUAAGAAUAUUUUGUCAUGUCCUUUGAAGACUGAAAUAGGGAGCCCUGUCCUCACCCAUGGCUCUGUGUAGCCACAGAACAUUCCCUCUGUGUCCAUGCUCCUGUGUAAUAGUCACAUGUUCAUAGACUCAGCAAAGGAGCAAAUCUAGAAAAUAUUUCUAAUUCUGCCACCAAUGAAAAGAAAGUACUGAGGACCAGGGACAUACAGACUUUUAUAACCCUGGUGCUUGGUAUUUUUCAAGGCAGAGAAACUAUUCUGUAUGAUAAUUGAAUGGCUGAAUACAUGUAAUUUUACAUUUGUCUAAAUCUAAAUAUUCACAGUUACUGUACUCUAAUGUCAACUUAAAAUUCAUUUAAUUUAAUUUAAUUAAUUUAUUUUUGGUACCAGGGAUCGUACUUGGGACCUUGUGCUUGUGAGGGAGGCACCACUGAGCUAAAUCCGCAGCCCUUAAAAUUCGUUUUAAAUUGAUGAGUCAUUGAAUCAUGAAUUAUUUUCAGGUCCAACUCUUUUGAAUCACCUUUCAUGUCACAGUUCUCAGUGUCUGCAUUUCCUCACACAACACAGCCCUGAGUAUCAUCAAGAGAACUGGUGAUAGGGAUGGGGAUAAGGUCCUGAGUUCGAUCCCCGGUACCAAAAAAAAAAAAAGAGUACUGGUGAUAGAGUGCUACUUCAAAGAGCGCAUCAUGGCUAUCUUCUGUUUACUGUCAGUGGGAAACAUUGGACCAAAGAAUGACGUCUUAAUGAUAGUCCUGCUCAACCCAUGAAUCGGUCACAUCAGCCUCCUGUUGCUCUGAAUUUUCUGUCAUCGAUUUCAAGAGUUUCCAGUUUAUCCUGCCUUUAACUGCAUUGCGUGGUGUUUGACAGGCAACCCUUUUGCACCUGCCUCUCUGACAAAGUGAGCAAAUUUCAAAUUGAAGUCACUAAAAACAGAGGGUUGCAAUGGCCUUUCUUCUUGGACUAACACAGGACCAUGUCUGGAGCCAGUGGCCUUCACCAACAGGUGCCCUCCUUGGCCCCCUGACUGAGACCCCUGCCCAACUGAGAGAGAAAAAGCCCCAAAAGACGCAUUGCCUGCAAGAAAAGAGAUAAUAGGAAGCCAGCUACUGCCUUGCUCAUUCACACCUGCAAGGAGACUGACUCUCUGAAAAACCACAAGGCACCCGCCUUACCUUGCUGUACCUGCCAUCGCCCUGCUACCCUCACCCCGUCCUGUUCAUCAGUCUUAAGCCUGUCACCCAAGAGACUCCAAAAUCUUCCUCCUUCUGAGCUGACACUCCCUCCCCUACUUAAACUUCCCUAUUUAAACUGUGCUCACUGUCCUUCCUAUGCCAACAGCAUUUUUGCCCUUGGCCUAUCUGCGCCCAGAUGGUAAAAAACUCAUUGCAUGUUGCUUAGAUUUUGCCUGCCUUGGUGAUCUCACUCGUGCUCCAGUUGAACCUUACACUUUCUAUGUCUGUUUAUACUAAACAAUAAAAGUGAGAUUCACUGACCUAAAUCAAUUAUUUUUUUAAAUCUCCUUACCCUCCCUUCCCUCCAUUCACCCCUCCCUUCAUCUUUUGG
This is a long non-coding RNA of Heterocephalus glaber (naked mole-rat), 1638 nucleotides long. The record is from Ensembl. Lineage: Eukaryota; Metazoa; Chordata; Mammalia; Rodentia; Bathyergidae.